GCUGUUUCUGCUCCUUCCUCUGCUGACGCUAAUGUUCCUUCCUUUGAUUUCCCGUAUAAGUUUAAGGCUGUGUCCAAAAGGCUGAAAUCUAACCCAUUUCGACCAACUCCGUCUUUUCCUAAAUAUUACGUUCACGCCUGGAUACCACCUAAGUUCCCAUGGAAACCACCUAAGUUCCCAUGGAAACCACCUAGGUACCCCCAGAAACCACCUAGGUCCCCCCGGAAACCACCUAGGCGAAACUGGAACAGGAGUCCACCUCCUCCACCGCCACGCUUGUUACCACUAUCGCAACCACCGGUGUAACAUUAGCCAGCUGCUGUAAGUUAAUAAAAUAUAAUAGAAGCUAUAUAUUUUCA
This 359-nucleotide long non-coding RNA is filed under the name Theobroma cacao (cacao). Its description in RNAcentral is "long non-coding RNA (TCAC_LNC006041)". The record is from RNAcentral. Lineage: Eukaryota; Viridiplantae; Streptophyta; Magnoliopsida; Malvales; Malvaceae.